GAACGCUAGCGGCAGGCUUAACACAUGCAAGUCGAGGGGCAGCGUGGAGCAGCAAUGCUCUGACGGCGACCGGCGGAAGGGUGCGUAACACGUGAGCGACUUGCCCGUCACAGGGGGAUAACCGGCGGAAACGGCGACUAAUACCCCCAUACGAUGCGAUGCUGCAUGGCAUUGCAUUGAAAGAUUCAUCGGUGGCGGAUAGGCUCGCGGGACAUUAGCUAGACGGCGGGGCAACGGCCCACCGUGGCGACGAUGUCUAGGGGUUCUGAGAGGAAGGCCCCCCACACUGGGACUGAGACACGGCCCAGACUCCUACGGGAGGCAGCAGUGAGGAAUAUUGGUCAAUGGGCGGAAGCCUGAACCAGCCAUGCCGCGUGAAGGACUAAGGCCCUACGGGUCGUAAACUUCUUUAGACGCAGAGCAAUAAGGUCCACGUGUGGACCGAUGAGAGUAUGCGUAGAAUAAGCAUCGGCUAACUCCGUG
RNAcentral lists this ribosomal RNA (483 nucleotides) under uncultured bacterium. RNAcentral describes it as "bacterial SSU rRNA". It matches the Rfam family "Bacterial small subunit ribosomal RNA", at positions 31 to 507 of the family's 1533-position model. The record is from RNAcentral.